AGUCUUAUAUUCAUUUGUGUAAUGAUAUUAAAUUGCAAAUUUAAUGGAGAAUAAAAAAAUUCUAAGACUU
This 70-nucleotide transfer RNA is filed under the name Psychopsis coelivaga. Its description in RNAcentral is "tRNA-Cys". The record is from RNAcentral. Lineage: Eukaryota; Metazoa; Arthropoda; Insecta; Neuroptera; Psychopsidae.